Molecule: transfer RNA, 64 nt
Filed under: Trigonopterus sp. AH-2016
Lineage: Eukaryota; Metazoa; Arthropoda; Insecta; Coleoptera; Curculionidae
Description: tRNA-Tyr
Rfam family: tRNA
About the family: Transfer RNA (tRNA) molecules are approximately 80 nucleotides in length. Their secondary structure includes four short double-helical elements and three loops (D, anti-codon, and T loops). Further hydrogen bonds mediate the characteristic L-shaped molecular structure. tRNAs have two regions of fundamental functional importance: the anti-codon, which is responsible for specific mRNA codon recognition, and the 3' end, to which the tRNAs corresponding amino acid is attached (by aminoacyl-tRNA synthetases). tRNAs cope with the degeneracy of the genetic code in two manners: having more than one tRNA (with a specific anti-codon) for a particular amino acid; and 'wobble' base-pairing, i.e. permitting non-standard base-pairing at the 3rd anti-codon position.
Source: RNAcentral
GGUAAAAUGGCUGAAUGGUAGGCGAUAGAUUGUAAAUCUAUUAAUGAAAUCUUUUCUUUUAUCA